GAUGAAGAACGCAGCGAAAUGCGAUAAGUAAUGUGAAUUGCAGAAUUCAGUGAAUCAUCGAAUCUUUGAACGCACAUUGCGCCCGCCAGUAUUCUGGCGGGCAUGCCUGUUCGAGCGUCAUUUCAACCAUCAAGCCCCCGGCUUGUGUUGGGGACCUGCGGCUGCCGCAGGCCCUGAAAAGCAGUGGCGGGCUCGCUGUCACACCGAGCGUAGUAGCAUACAUCUCGCUCUGGGCGUGCUGCAGGUUCCGGCCGUUAAACCACCUUCAUAACCCAAGGUUGACCUCGGAUCAGGUAGGAAGACCCGCUGAACUUAAGCAUAUCAAUAAGCGGAGGA
Molecule: unclassified non-coding RNA, 336 nt
Filed under: soil metagenome
Description: partial contains 5.8S ribosomal RNA, internal transcribed spacer 2, and large subunit ribosomal RNA
Rfam family: 5.8S ribosomal RNA (bases 1-120)
Source: RNAcentral